AACGAACGCUGGCGGCAGGCCUAACACAUGCAAGUCGAGCGCCCCGCAAGGGGAGCGGCGGACGGGUGAGUAACGCGUGGGAACGUACCCUUUGCUACGGAAUAGCCUCGGGAAACUGGGAGUAAUACCGUAUGUGCCCUUCGGGGGAAAGAUUUAUCGGCAAAGGAUCGGCCCGCGUUGGAUUAGGUAGUUGGUGGGGUAAUGGCCUACCAAGCCGACGAUCCAUAGCUGGUUUGAGAGGAUGAUCAGCCACACUGGGACUGAGACACGGCCCAGACUCCUACGGGAGGCAGCAGUGGGGAAUCUUAGACAAUGGGCGCAAGCCUGAUCUAGCCAUGCCGCGUGAGCGAUGAAGGCCUUAGGGUUGUAAAGCUCUUUCAGUGGGGAAGAUAAUGACUGUACCCACAGAAGAAGCCCCGGCUAACUCCGUGCCAGCAGCCGCGGU
Molecule: ribosomal RNA, 445 nt
Filed under: uncultured bacterium
Lineage: Bacteria
Description: bacterial SSU rRNA
Rfam family: Bacterial small subunit ribosomal RNA
Source: RNAcentral